CAGUAGCCGCGGGAAUACCGAGGAUGCAAGCGUUAAUCGGAAUUACUGGGCGUAAAGCGCGCGUAGGUGGUUUGUUAAGUUGGAUGUGAAAGCCCCGGGCUCAACCUGGGAACUGCAUCCAAAACUGGCAAGCUAGAGUACGGUAGAGGGUGGUGGAAUUUCCUGUGUAGCGGUGAAAUGCGUAGAUAUAGGAAGGAACACCAGUGGCGAAGGCGACCACCUGGACUGAUACUGACACUGAGGUGCGAAAGCGUGGGGAGCAAACAGGAUUAGAUACCCCUGUAGUCCCUGUCUCUUAUAA
Molecule: ribosomal RNA, 301 nt
Filed under: uncultured bacterium
Lineage: Bacteria
Description: partial 16S ribosomal RNA
Rfam family: Bacterial small subunit ribosomal RNA
Source: RNAcentral